Molecule: ribosomal RNA, 252 nt
Filed under: uncultured bacterium
Lineage: Bacteria
Description: partial 16S ribosomal RNA
Rfam family: Bacterial small subunit ribosomal RNA
Source: RNAcentral
UACGGAGGAUGCGAGCGUUAUCCGGAUUUAUUGGGUUUAAAGGGUGCGUAGGCGGACUGUUAAGUCAGCGGUAAAAAUUCGGGGCCCAACCCCGUCAUGCCGUUGAAACUGGCGGACUAGAGUGGGCGAGAAGUAUGCGGAAUGCGAGGUGUAGCGGUGAAAUGCAUAGAUAUCACGCAGAACUCCGAUUGCGAAGGCAGCAUACCGGCGCCCAACUGACGCUGAGGCACGAAAGCGUGGGGAUCGAACAGG